GAUGAACGCUGGCGGCGUGCUUAACACAUGCAAGUCGAACGAAGAAUUUGCGACCGUUUUUUUCGGAAUGAAGUUGCUUAUGACUGAGUGGCGGACGGGUGAGUAACGCGUGGGUAAGGUGCCUUGUCCUGGGGGAUAGCAGCUGGCAACGGCUGGUAAUACAGCAUAAGCGCACAAUGUUGCAUGACAUGGUGUGAAAAACUCCGGUUGUAUAAGAUGGACCCGCGUCUGAUUAGCUAGUUGGUGAGAUAACAGCCCACCAAGGCGACGAGCAGUAGCCGGCCUGUGAGGGUGGCCCGCCACAUUGACACUGAGACACGGUCCAGACUCCUACGGGAGGCAGCAGUGGGUAAUAUUGCAAAAUCGAGUAAACGCUGAUGCAGCUACGCCGCUAGAGUGAAGAAAUUAUGCGUGAUGUAAAGCGCAAUCAGCUGGGAAGGUAUUGACGGUACCUGACUAGGAAGCCCCGGCUAACUACGUG
Molecule: ribosomal RNA, 481 nt
Filed under: uncultured bacterium
Lineage: Bacteria
Description: partial 16S ribosomal RNA
Rfam family: Bacterial small subunit ribosomal RNA
Source: RNAcentral